UGGGGAAUUUUGCGCAAUGGGCGAAAGCCUGACGCAGCAACGCCGCGUGAGUGAUGAAGGCCUUUGGGUCGUAAAGCUCUGUCAGGAGGAACGAAGUGUGCAGCGUUAACAGCGCUGGAUUUGACGGUACCUCCAAAGGAAGCACCGGCUAACUCCGUGCCAGCAGCCGCGGUAAUACGGAGGGUGCAAGCGUUGUUCGGAUUUAUUGGGCGUAAAGGGCGUGUAGGCGGUCUGUUAAGUCUGAUGUGAAAGCCCCGGGCUCAACCUGGGAAGUGCAUUGGAAACUGAUAGACUUGAGUACGGGAGAGGGCAGUGGAAUUCCCAGUGUAGGAGUGAAAUCCGUAGAUAUUGGGAGGAACACCGGUGGCGAAGGCGGCUGCCUGGACCGAUACUGACGCUGAGACGCGAAAGCGUGGGGAGCAAACA
This 426-nucleotide ribosomal RNA is filed under the name uncultured Geobacter sp. RNAcentral's name for it is "partial 16S ribosomal RNA". It matches the Rfam family "Bacterial small subunit ribosomal RNA", at positions 355 to 774 of the family's 1533-position model. The record is from RNAcentral. Lineage: Bacteria; Pseudomonadati; Thermodesulfobacteriota; Desulfuromonadia; Geobacterales; Geobacteraceae.